RNAcentral lists this ribosomal RNA (346 nucleotides) under uncultured bacterium. RNAcentral's name for it is "partial 16S ribosomal RNA". It matches the Rfam family "Bacterial small subunit ribosomal RNA", at positions 338 to 682 of the family's 1533-position model. The record is from RNAcentral.
CCUACGGGCGGCAGCAGUGAGGAAUAGUGGUCAAUGGCCGCAGGGCUGAACCAGCCAAGUCGCGUGAGGGAUGACGGUCCUAUGGAGUGUAAACCUCUUUUGUCAGGGAGCAAAGGGCGCCACGUGUGGCGUUUUGCGAGUACCGGAAGAAAAAGCAUCGGCUAACCCCGGGCCAGCAGCCGCGGUAAUACGGAGGAUGCGAGCGUUAUCCGGAUUUAUUGGGUGUAAAGGGUGCGCAGGCGGAAUGUCAAGUCAGCGGUAAACUUUCGGGGCUCAACCCCGUCGUGCCGUUGAAACUGGCGUUCUUGAGUGAGCGAGCAGUAUGCGGAAUUCGUUGUGUAGCGGU